Molecule: ribosomal RNA, 495 nt
Filed under: uncultured bacterium
Lineage: Bacteria
Description: partial 16S ribosomal RNA
Rfam family: Bacterial small subunit ribosomal RNA
Source: RNAcentral
GACGAACGCUGGCGGCGUGCCUAAUACAUGCAAGUAGAACGCUGAAGGAGGAGCUUGCUCUUCUGGAUGAGUUGCGAACGGGUGAGUAACGCGUAGGUAACCUGCCUGGUAGCGGGGGAUAACUAUUGGAAACGAUAGCUAAUACCGCAUAACAGUAGAUGUUGCAUGACAUUUACUUAAAAGGUGCAAUUGCAUCACUACCAGAUGGACCUGCGUUGUAUUGGCUAGUUGGUGGGGUAACGGCUCACCAAGGCGACGGUACAUAGCCGACCUGGGCGGGGGGUCGGCCCCACUGGGAGUGGAGCGUGGACCAGGGGGCUGAGGGACGCAGCAGUAGGGUAUCUGCGGCAGUGGUCGGGAGUAUGGCCGAUCAGGGCCGAGUGAGAGGAGGAGAUGUUGGGUGCGUAAUGCCCUGUUUUAAGGUAUGAACGAAUGUGGGGACGGAAAAUUCACACUGUGACGGUAUCUUAACAGAAAGGACCGGCUAACUACGUG